CGCCCCGGGGGAGCGGAACGAGCCUCCCCCGCCCGGAGCGCGGCCUGGGCGGGCCGAGGGGCUCCGAUCGCUCUGCCCCGACCGCGGAAGGGAAUAUUGAAGGCUGAAGCCCCGAAGAGCCAGGCACGGUAUAAACACAGAGUGAAAGCCUUUCUCUUCCCCAAGUCCUCGCUGUCUAAGUAGCCAAGACAAAGAACAGAAGGCAGUACGAUUUUUCUUACACAAGUUCAGGGUAUGAAGCAUGGGAGUUUAGCUUGGCUUGUCCAACACUGCAUAAGGAAAGUCUCCCUUCGAGCUGGGAGCUGAAUGCAGAUUUCCUGCCUUAAUCUCAAGACUACCUUCUCAAACAGCAAUGAACAACCUUGAGGCUUUAAGGAGGUUUCUUGCAAAAGGGGGAAGAUAAACGACACCAAUAGGAUUGAAGGCGCAGCCCCACAGACACCGAUGCUGGGACAAGGAUGGCUCCAGAGAGCAGAGCCUGCAGCAACAGGGAGGGGGAUCCAUCCCUCACAUUCGUAAAGGGAUAUUUCAGUCACUGCCCAUGUCAGAGGUCCCUCUGUCUCCAGCCAAAUCACAACAGCUUUUAACUCCAUGCAUUAAACUUUCUCUCCUUUCCUCCACCCACAUCCCCAAAGUCAUUAUCAUCACCCACCAACUGAACAGUCAUUUCCAAGGUACCUCUCAGACACCAAAAAAAAAAAAAUCCUCCCCAAAAUAUAAAAGCCAGUGUUUGGAU
Long non-coding RNA from Lepidothrix coronata (blue-crowned manakin), 736 nucleotides. RefSeq lists it as uncharacterized. The transcript is spliced from 2 exons. NCBI's taxonomy places the organism in Eukaryota, Metazoa, Chordata, Aves, Passeriformes, Pipridae. The record is from RefSeq and is a predicted model, not a curated record.